RNAcentral lists this ribosomal RNA (484 nucleotides) under uncultured bacterium. Its description in RNAcentral is "bacterial SSU rRNA". It matches the Rfam family "Bacterial small subunit ribosomal RNA", at positions 28 to 521 of the family's 1533-position model. The record is from RNAcentral.
GAUGAACGCUGGCGGCGUGCUUAACACAUGCAAGUCGAACGAAGAUGCCGGAGUGCUUGCACUUUGGCAGACUGAGUGGCGGACGGGUGAGUAACGCGUGGGUAACCUGCCUUAUACAGGGGGAUAACAGUUGGAAACGACUGCUAAUACCGCAUAAGCGCACGGUAUCGCAUGAUACAGUGUGAAAAACUCCGGUGGUAUAAGAUGGACCCGCGUCUGAUUAGCUUGUUGGUGAGGUAACGGCCCACCAAGGCGACGAUCAGUAGCCGGCCUGAGAGGGUGAACGGCCACAUUGGGACUGAGACACGGCCCAAACUCCUACGGGAGGCAGCAGUGGGGAAUAUUGCACAAUGGGGGAAACCCUGAUGCAGCGACGCCGCGUGAGUGACGAAGUAUUUCGGUAAUGUAAAACUCUAUCAGCAGGGAAGAUAAUGACGGUACCUGACUAAGAAGCACCGGCUAAAUACGUGCCAGCAGCCGCGGU